UGUCAGUCCACCAAGCAUUGUUUCGUACAUUGUAAGUACAAUCAAAAAGUGUGGAGGGUUAUCGUAAAUCGAUGUUUCAUAUUCCACAGACUUCAGAGAUGACUCUGCCCUUGUAAAGACUUCUAGUGGACAGGAGAGAACUGUACAACCUGUUGACAACCCUUCAGCUGCCUCAGAUGGUGACACUGCUCUUGAAGGGACAUCUAAAGAGGAUAAUGGGAAGAAAAAGUCCAGCAGGAAAAAAAAACGUCAUGAACAAAGUGCGAUUACCAAAAAUGCUGGAGUGGACGAUCCCAGGAGGAAAAUAAAGCAUCCAUGGUCUCCAGCUGAGGUUGCAGCUGUGAUGAGACAUUUUAAAGAUCACAUCAACAAUGGUAAACUCGUCACUAUGAUUCAGUGCCAGCAGUGCAAGACCGCUGAGCAUCAUGUUCUUGCCGACCGCACUCUUCAAAAUAUAAGAGAUUUUGUUAGAAAUCGUGGCAUAACACUGAAGAGGAAGAACCAAUAAGUACAGAGAGAGAUGAUGUUUUGUUUUUAUGUGUUAAAAGAUAAGA
Molecule: non-coding RNA, 554 nt
Organism: Doryrhamphus excisus (bluestripe pipefish)
Lineage: Eukaryota; Metazoa; Chordata; Actinopteri; Syngnathiformes; Syngnathidae
Source: RefSeq, a predicted model, not a curated record